GACGAACGCUGGCGGCGUGCUUAACACAUGCAAGUCGAACGGAAAGGCCCUGCUUUUGUGGGGUGCUCGAGUGGCGAACGGGUGAGUAACACGUGAGUAACCUGCCCUUGACUUUGGGAUAACUUCAGGAAACUGGGGCUAAUACCGGAUAGGAGCUCCUGCUGCAUGGUGGGGGUUGGAAAGUUUCGGCGGUUGGGGAUGGACUCGCGGCUUAUCAGCUUGUUGGUGGGGUAGUGGCUUACCAAGGCUUUGACGGGUAGCCGGCCUGAGAGGGUGACCGGCCACAUGGGGACUGGGAUACGGCCCAGACUCCUACGGGAGGCAACAGUGGGGAAUAUUGCACAAUGGGCGGAAGCCUGAUGCAGCAACGCCGCGUGCGGGAUGACGGCCUUCGGGUUGUAAACCGCUUUCGCCUGUGACGAAGCGUGAGUGACGGUAAUGGGUAAAGAAGCACCGGCUAACUACGU
This 467-nucleotide ribosomal RNA is filed under the name uncultured bacterium. Its description in RNAcentral is "partial 16S ribosomal RNA". It matches the Rfam family "Bacterial small subunit ribosomal RNA", at positions 28 to 506 of the family's 1533-position model. The record is from RNAcentral.